This is a long non-coding RNA of Alexandromys fortis (reed vole), 1358 nucleotides long. RefSeq lists it as uncharacterized. NCBI's taxonomy places the organism in Eukaryota, Metazoa, Chordata, Mammalia, Rodentia, Cricetidae. The record is from RefSeq and is a predicted model, not a curated record. The transcript has 2 exons.
GUUUGUGUGUGUGAUUACCUUGAUAUGGAGAUAGCCUUAUUUGGCUGUCAUGUGGAGAAAAAAACACCUACAACUUCUUCUGCACACUCCCUCUUCUCUGCUGAGACAUCAGUGAGGGCGACAUGUCUCCUGGAGCUAGAAGUUUACAUCCACUUCCAGAUGAUGUUCCCAUAGCCAACUCCUAAAUUUCCCUGUCCAGAUGGCCCCGAGUCUCCCUGGGUUUAUCCUUAAGGAGUGGUCUACUGUACAAUGAAGAAACUUCUGGAGGCAUUACCAUCCCUGACUUCAAACUCUACUACAAAGCUACAGUAAUGAAAACAGCCUUGUAUUCACAUAAGAACAGACAGGAGGACCAAUGGAAUCGAAUAGAAUUGAUCUGGCUAUCAAUCUACAUACCUACAAACACCUGAUUUUUGACAAAGAAGAUAAAAAUAUAAAAUGGGGAAAAAGUAUAUUCAACAAAUAGUGCAAGCACAACUAGAUAUCAACAAGUUGAGAAAUGCAAAUAGAUCCAUAUCUAUCUCCAUGCUCAAAACUCAAGUCCAAAUGGAUCAAAAACCUCAACAUAAAAUCAACCACACUGAGCCUCAUAGAAGAGAAUGUGGGAAGUGACUUUUACACAUUGGCACAGGAGACCACUUCCUAAAUAUAACCCCAGUAGCACCAGACAUUGAGAGCAACAACUAAUAAAUAGGACCUCCUGAAAAUGAAAAGCUUCUGUAAAGCAGAGGACACAGUCAAAAAGACAAAACAGCAGCCUACACAAUGGGAAAAUAUCUUACCAACCUCAUAUCAGACAGAGAACUGAUCUCCAAAAUAUGCAAAGAACUCAAGAAACUUGAUAUCUAAAGAACAAAUAAUUCAAUAAAAAUGGGGUACAGACCUAAACAGAGAUCUCUCAACAGAUGAAUUUCAAAUGAAUGAAAGACACUUAAGGAAAUGUUCAACAUCCUUAGCCAUCAGAGAAAUAUAAAUCAAAACAACUCUGAGAUUCCACCUUACACCUGUCAGAAUGUCCAAGAUCAAAAUCACUGAUGACACAGGCCCACUAUAGAGCUUGUGGGGUAAAGGGAACACUCCUCCAUUGCUGGUGGGAGUGCAAGCUGGUACAGUCACUUUGGAAAUCAGUAUGGUGAUUUCUCAGAAAAUCAGGAAACAAUCUACCUCAAGUCCAGCAAUACUACUUUUGGUUAUAUAUCCAAAGAUGCUCAAUUGUACCACAAGGACAUGUGCUCAACUAUGUUUAUAGCUGCAUUGUUUGUCAUAGCCAGAUCUUGGAAACAACCUAGAUGCCCUCAACUGAAAAGUGGUUAAGGAAAAUGUGGUACAUUUACUCAAUGGAGUACUACACAAAGGUA